UGCAUUAUUCUUUAGUUUAUACAGUUAAUUAGCUACCAUUUUAAAAAAAGGUAGCUAAUUAACUGUAUAAACUAAAGAAUAAAGCAAAAACAAA
Paramuricea clavata is the source of this 94-nucleotide non-coding RNA. The record is from the annotation of a GenBank genome assembly. NCBI's taxonomy places the organism in Eukaryota, Metazoa, Cnidaria, Anthozoa, Malacalcyonacea, Plexauridae.